AAUGCAGAGCACUAUUUGUCUUGGACUCAAUGACUGUGUGCUUCUGAUUGGAUUAAACGUUUUGGGACAGGUACCAGGUUAUUUGUCAAUGAUGAUGCUGUGCGUCAACCUACGGUGAGCGUCUACUCCAGCACCAAAUCUCAAAAAGAGAACACCUUUCUGUGCCAUGCCAGUAAUAUGUUCCCAGACUUGGUCAGAUUCCACUGGAAAGUGUUCAAAGCUGGAAAGUGGGAAAACGUGGUGAAGAAUGACCGCGAGGUGCUGGAGACCAGCUUCUCAGACAAGACAAACACCAGCAUCAUGAUUAUUGACAAGCAGAAGGCCGGUGGCAACCGAUACGCCUGCUCCUACACACACGAAGCCCUCAGGGAAGGAAAAGAGAGCAAGCCUCUGGAGAUAGAGGGAAAGAAAGGAGGACAAACUGAGCCGGUGACAAAACCUCAAGCAAAAACCUUCAAUGUCACAGUCUGCUCAACACCCAACGACACAGCUAUCUCCACGUUACACCAACUAGAUGAGUACUUUGGAGCCGCACGCAGUCUGUAUCUGGCAACAUGGGUGUACACCCUUAUGAUUUUUAAAAGCACGGUGUACUUCUGCGCCAUCUCCUACUUCAUAUGCACAAAGAACAUGAGAAGCAAGCGCUCCCUCAACCGUAGAGCUCCCUGAUACAGCGUGCUGUGGAGCUGAGUGAUGUGCUUAUUCUACAUGCCAUUCUUUGUGACGCUUGUGCCAGGUCAAACUUGGGCGCCGAUCUUUAUCUGAUUCUCCCUUUUCAGCAAAUACUAUUUUCAAAAUGUCUCAAUACAUAUCAGUAUCUAUGCACAUUAUUUCCUCUUUAUUUUCCACCUAUGUUUUUUUUUUUUUUUGUUAUGCUUGAUUACUUUGUUAUGUUUUAAGAUGCACAUAGCAUGAUUUUGUCCUGCUGUAUUUUAUUACUGUCUUAUCUAUAACUUAACAUAUACUGUGUAUUUUCCAUGGCAACUUCUAUUUCAAUUUCCCAAUCAUAGUUUUUUAGAAACAAAUUAUUCUUGUGCUAUGUACUUUUAUUACCAUAGCAAAUAAAGAUUAGGCAAUAUAAGAUUACAUUAAACUGGUUUACAAAUUAUACAAAUUAUUUAAUCACCUGGGUAUAACUAGUAUGUAAUUGUAAUGUAAAUUAUAAAAUGCUGAGUUAUUCAUUCAGACGAUCAUAGGUAAUGUGUUUCAACAAACAGCACAUUUUCAAUACUUGACAUUGCUAAUUUCCUUUAAUAUAAUUAUGAAAGAAACAUUGGUUAUUAAGAACUUGAUAUCAGGACAUUUGUUAAAAAUACUGCAGGUAUUUAAUUAUAUAAAAAAAAAAUGUAGACUGCAGUAUUACAACUUUGACUGUUGAAAUGGAUUGUGGGUACUGUGUUUUGAAUAAAUAAAUAAAUAUAUAUUUGUAUGCGUACUUCCAAAUAAAUAUUUCUUUAAAGACCA
This is a long non-coding RNA of Clupea harengus (Atlantic herring), 1464 nucleotides long. Lineage: Eukaryota; Metazoa; Chordata; Actinopteri; Clupeiformes; Clupeidae. The record is from Ensembl.